GGGAAUGUGGCUCAGUGUUAGAGUGCUUGCCUAGCAUGCAUGAAGUCCAGGGUUCGGUUCCUCAAUACCA
Molecule: transfer RNA, 70 nt
Filed under: Dipodomys ordii (Ord's kangaroo rat)
Lineage: Eukaryota; Metazoa; Chordata; Mammalia; Rodentia; Heteromyidae
Rfam family: tRNA
About the family: Transfer RNA (tRNA) molecules are approximately 80 nucleotides in length. Their secondary structure includes four short double-helical elements and three loops (D, anti-codon, and T loops). Further hydrogen bonds mediate the characteristic L-shaped molecular structure. tRNAs have two regions of fundamental functional importance: the anti-codon, which is responsible for specific mRNA codon recognition, and the 3' end, to which the tRNAs corresponding amino acid is attached (by aminoacyl-tRNA synthetases). tRNAs cope with the degeneracy of the genetic code in two manners: having more than one tRNA (with a specific anti-codon) for a particular amino acid; and 'wobble' base-pairing, i.e. permitting non-standard base-pairing at the 3rd anti-codon position.
Source: Rfam by way of RNAcentral